Molecule: ribosomal RNA, 1317 nt
Filed under: uncultured organism
Description: partial 16S ribosomal RNA
Rfam family: Bacterial small subunit ribosomal RNA
Source: RNAcentral
AGUAAAGUGGCGAACGGGUGAUUAACACGCGGUAAUCUACCCUUUGGUCUGGGAUUCAUCGCGAAAGUGGUGCUAAUACCGGAUAAUAUCCACGGAUUCAGAGGGCUUUGCCCUCCCAGAGGAGGAGCUUGCGCCCCAUUAUCUAGAUGGUGAGGUAAUGGCUCACCAAGGAUCCGAUGGGUAGCCGGCCUGACAGGGUGUACGGCCACACUGGAACUGACACACGGUCUUGACUCCUACGGGAGGUUCCUCUGGGGAAUAUUGGUCAAUGGGCGAAAGCCUGAACCAGCAAUGCCGUGUGGGUGAUGAAGCUUCUAGGAGUGUAAAACCCUUUUAUGAGGGAAGAACGAAAUGCGGUUAAUAUCUGUAUUUCUUGACGGUACCUCAUGAAUAAUCCCCGGCUAACUCCGUGCCAUGUCCGCGGUAACACGGAGGGGGCAAGCGUUGUUCGGAAUUACUGGGCGUAAACGGCGUGUACGCGGCCUAGCAAGUCAGAUGUGAAAUCACCCGUGUCAACUCAGGAACUGCGUUUGAAACCGAUAGGCUUGACGCUAGGACAGAAAAGCGGAAUACCUGGUGUAGCGGUGAAAUGCGUAGAUAUCCUGAGGAACACCGGGGGCGAAAGCGGCUUUCUGGACUAGGUCUGACGGUGAGGUGUAAUAGCGUGGGGAGCGAACGGUAUUAGAUACCCCGUUAGUCCACGCUGUAAACGCAUGAGCACUAGGUGUAGCGGGUAUCGACCCUUGAUGUGUCGCAGCUAACGCAAUAAAUUUUCAGCUUGGUGAUUACGCACGCAAGUGUGAAACUCAAAGGAAUUUACGGGGCCCCGCCCAAGCGGUGGAGUAUGUGGUUUAAUUAGAUGCAUCGCGAAGAACCUUACCAGGGCUUUACAUGUAGGUGUUAGGAAGCCGAAAGGUAACCGACCCUUCGGGGAGCCUUCACAGGUACUGCAUGGCAGUGUUCAGUUCGUGUUGUGAGAUGUUGAAUGAAGUCCCGCAACGAGCGCAACCCUUACCCUUAGUUGCCAUCAGUUCGGGGGGGAACUCUAGGGGAACUGCCGGUGACAAACCGGAGGAAGGUGGGGAUGACGUCAAGUCCUCAUGGCCCUUAUGUCGUGGGCUACACACGUACUCCAAUCGUUGUUACAAUGAGUAGCAAUACCGCGAGGUGGAGCCAAUAUCAAAAAACGGGCCUCAAUUCAGAUUGGAGUCUGCAACUCGACUCCAUGAAGGUGGAAUCGCUUGUAAUCGUGGAUCAGCAUGCCGCGGGGAAUUCGUUUCCGGGGGUUGUACCCCCCGCCCGUCACACCACGAAAGU